This 253-nucleotide ribosomal RNA is filed under the name uncultured bacterium. RNAcentral's name for it is "partial 16S ribosomal RNA". It matches the Rfam family "Bacterial small subunit ribosomal RNA", at positions 524 to 776 of the family's 1533-position model. The record is from RNAcentral.
GACGAACCGUGCGAACGUUGUUCGGAAUCACUGGGCUUAAAGGGCGCGUAGGCGGGCGGCCGCGUCCGGGGUGAAAUCCCACGGCUCAACCGUGGAACGGCCUCGGAUACGGGCGGCCUCGAGGGGGGUAGGGGCAUCUGGAACUGUGAGUGGAGCGGUGAAAUGCGUUGAUAUUCACAGGAACUCCGGUGGCGAAGGCGAGGUGCUGGACCCCAUCUGACGCUGAGGCGCGAAAGCCAGGGGAGCGAACAGG